AUACUAAUUACACUACUAUAAUUUUCAUGACAUAAAAGACAUACAUUUGUUAUAUUAUAAUUCAUAAGAGAAGCUUUAUGACUGAACCAAAACUAUUGGGUUUAAUGUCUGAGCCCAAUGACCUGGGCCAAGACACUUUUAAGAUUUUAUUUUUCCAUCUGAACUAGUUCGCAAGUUUGGCCCACUUUGAAUCAGAAAAAAGGCCUUUAUCCCUGAAGGGUUUUGACCAUAAUCUUGGCCAUUACACCAUUUAUACUUACGAAAUACAAUAACAUGAUGAUUAUAUUCUAACAAUAAUUAUUUUAAUCGUAGUAUAUGAAACCCCAAAGAUAAUUAACUAUAGUUCAUCAAGCAAGCCCAAACCUCUCAAAAAUCAGGAAAUUACAUCAUGGCUUAUUAAUACAUAAACUACUGCAUUGGGCUAAUUUUCCACAUUUAAACUUAUGAAAUAACUACAACAGCUAACCAUAUAACAAUUUCUAUUAACAACCAAGUGAACAUCCACUCCCUUUGGAUGUAACUGAUCCAUUAAGCUUGGUUCACCAACAUAAGGCUCUCAACUUCAGUACACUAUCAGCAAAUACAAGCAAUUUUGGGCUUUAACACAUACCGAUUUGGCCAAUUAGCGGCCAAAUUCAUAAGUUAUAGCCUACUUGACCUCCAAAAAUAUAAUAAACAUUACACUAAAGUCAUUUAUGAGCGAAAAAGGUAUGGACAACAGCUUUAAUAAAACGUUUAAAAAAAAAAGAAGUAAUGAAGUUUCAUCUUAAUGAGCUCAAACUUGGGACAUUUUAAAGGAAAACUACAAAUAUCAACUACCCACACAAAUAUUCAUCCUAGUACAUUUUAUAUCUUUACAAUCAAACUAGCUUACUUCAGAAUAGAUUAAUCAAACAACAAAAAAGAACCACUCAUUUACUACAAACAAUUUUGCAAGCUUUGAUAUUUUAUAACUUAUCAAACAAAAGCGAUUACAUAUGAUAUCUGAAUCAAUAACUUAAAGAGUGAAAACAUCAAGGGAUAAAAGAGAUAGAUGGAUGUGAUGAUCCGAUCCGUCGUCUCAUGAGUUACUACCCUGUUCUUCCCGGUUUCUUCUUUCUUAUAUUUCAUUAUCGGUAUUGGAUAUGUUAGAAUUGAUUAGGAAUGAUUUUGAUAAGAAAUGAGACACUUAGUCUCUUUUAAGAAUGCCUAAGUUGGAAAAGUCAAUCGGAUAUUGGCUUAUGAGUUAGAAGGUUCAGAAUUGAAUUUCGAUGAUUCGGUUAGCGCUGGGUGAUGAAUUAAGGCUUAGGAGCGCAAUCGGCAGUAAUUUUGGAGGUCCGAUGAAGAAGCUAGCCUAUUUUGGCGAAGUUAGUAUUUUGGCGAUUUCCGGUUGAUAGGUGAAAUUUGAUCCGGGAGUUGGAAUGGAAUUCCGAGAGUUGCUAUAGCUUCGUUAUGUCAUUUUGGACUUAUGUGCAAAAUUUGAGGUCAAUCGUACGUGAUUUGAUAGGUUUCGGCAUUGGAAAUAGAAGUUGGAAGUUCUAAAGUUCAUAAAUCUUGGAUUGGAGAUUGAUGCAUGAUUUUUGCAUUAUUUGAUGUGAUUUAAGGACUCACGCAACUGUGUAGUAUAUGGGACUUGUUAGUAUACUUUGUUGGGAUCCCAUGAGGCUCGUAUAAAUUUUGGAAGAGUUUUUAAAAGAUUUUUUACCGUUUUGAGCAUAAAUGUAAUGAUCUAAAGGUUUAUUUAUAGUUCUAGAGAUCCAAAUUUGAUUUCGAAACUUUCGAAAUUUUGAUAAUGAAUUAUAUGACCGAUCUGAAAAUUUUGGUAUAAUUUCAUCAAGUCGCGAUUAGGUUUUUGACGUGAAGCAUGAGUAAUUGUUUAACGAGCGAAAUGGAUAUCACACUGGGCAAAUGAUCCCGGAAUUGAGUUUCAAUUGAAGUGUUGUGUUUGUAUUAUUAUUUUUGACUCAAAGGAACAAUAAUCGUUUAAUUCCGAGUUCGUAGAAAGAGUUAGAGCCUUUCUAGUGAAAUUAAAGAGUGGUGGUGUAUCAAGUCUGAUGUGGCACUUUUAGCGACCAGAUUAGUAGCUUUAGCAACUAAAUUUGGGUCUUUAGCAACCAGAUUUGCUUAUUAAAAGUUGCUGCAUUUUUGCUAAUUUUUUUGGCCUAGUUGCUUGCUAAAUAACACGGCUUGGGGAAAUUUUUGAGCAAGAAAUCAUGGAAAAUCUUGAGGUAAGUCACUUGUGAUUAUUUCUACUCCAUAAUAUUGAAUUAUCAUCGAAUAAUUCGACUAGAUUACAUGUUUUUGAGGUGUAAAUUGGAGAUUUUGUACCUAGGGAUUUGAAAAUAAGAUUUGAAGAAUUGAAGAACUCCGAUUCUGGUAAAUUUUAUAUGGACUCGUGGCGAGACGAGGAAUCCGGUAAUGUGACUUUACGUUAUUUUUUGAGAAGUGGGCCCGAGGCUCGGGUUUUUCCAAUUUCAUUAUUUUCGAUAUUUUUCGAGUCUUUUCGAUUGGGUUAUAUUUCCUUAGCAUAUUGUGAUAUAUUCGCUCUGAAUUUGGAUAGAUUCAACGUGCGUGGAGGCCGACUUGAGGACCAAGGGCAUCGCGGGCUAGAGAUUUCGCCGGUUCGAGGUGAGUAAUGAUUUUAAAUGAUGCCCCGAGGGUUUGAAACCCGAAUUGCACAAUAUACUGCUAUGUUGAGAUGAGACACACGUUGUAUGACAAGCACAGAGUCAUUUACUAUUGGGGAUUGUGACGUGGUCCAUCCCAGUUGAUAUUUUACCACGUUUUUGAUAAAGAUUUAUUGUUUUUCACCAUGAUUUGGGCUCAUUGACAUACUUGGGCUUCGUGCAUAUUAUUUGAAAUCUUUUAUGAAUUUACAUCACUAUUUUUCCUCAUGAAUUGAAAUAUUAUUUGAAUUCAGUCCAAUUGAAUUAUAUUAUUUUAUGAACUCAGCCACAUUUAUACUCAACUCGAGAUUUAAUGAUAUUUAUAGUAUUGUUGAGCUGAGCACUAUUGUUUUACUGAUGUCCAAGGGGCUUAUGAUUGUUUUCUGGACUGAUUGAGGCCGAGGGCCGUACAUGAGGUUAUGUUGAGUGAUAUGAGGAUGCUUUCCGGCCUCGAGUGUUAUGUAAGGAGGCUUUCGGGCCUCGAGUCUUAUGUGAGGAGGCUUUCAGGCCUCGAGUGUGAUGUGUGAAGGCUUUCAGCCCUAUUGAUAUUGCCCUUGGGCUGUUGGAGCCCCUCCAGAGUUUGUACACACCCCCAGUGAACAUAGGGUACCCAGGUGAGUUGGGAGUGGGCUCGAGAGGCUGUUGUUUGUGUUUGGUGAGUUGGGAGAGACCCUGAGGGCCUGAUGUUGUGUGCUGGUGAGUUGGGAGUGAGCCUGGGGGCUGAUACUGUACUGUGAGUUUGAUAUUAAACCCGAGGAGCAAGUUUCUGAUUAUUCCUUACUUGUUGAAAUUAAUUGUCUUCACUAUUUAUAAAAGAGAAUUAUCUAGUACUCCACGGCUUCAUUGUAUAAUUCAUUUUACUGCUUGAGAUAGCGUUAUAUUGUGCCUUUAUGAGAUUCCAUGCUUUUAGUCGUUAUUUAUUAUUAUUACUCACUGGGUCAGAGUACUCACAUUACUCCCUGCACCAUGUGUGCAGAAACAGGUAUUGAUCACUGAUUGGUGCAGACUCAAACCUAAGAAUGAGUGGGCGCAACUACUAAUAAUCCAAUAGUGUAUCGGGGUCGAUAAUUCCACAGGGAGCUUCAAUUUGGAGCUUCAAUUCCACAUGGGUAUGCGAUCGCAUUGUUCUGGGAGAUUGAGCUAUGCGAUCGCACAAGGGGGUAUGCUUUCGCAUAAGGGCCUAGGGUCCUUGGCAGUGGCGUGUCCUAUGCGAUCGCAGGGGUGCUAUGCGAUCGCAUAGUUUUAUUUUGGGAAGGAGGAAGUUUGUGCUAUGCGAUCGCAAUGGAUGUGAUGCGAUUGCAUAGAGUAAUAACUGGGCAGACAGAAUGGUUUUAAGUGUUAUUUCAUCUGUGACCUAUCUCAUUUUUCAUCCAUUUUUGCACCACCUUGGGAGCUAGUUGGUAGAUUUUGAAGGGGGUUUUGACGGGAAUCGAUUGGAGGUAAGGUUUAUGAGCGUAAUACAUGAUUUUGUUGAAGAAUCAUCCAUUAAUUCUCUGAAUUUGGGUAUAGAAUUAAGAAACUAGGGCUUGAGUUUUGAUAUUUCAAAUGGGGAUUUGAUAGGUCAUUUGAUCUCAGAUUUGGGAGUUCUUGGUAUGUAUGAACUCGUGGCGAGACGAGGAUUCCGGAAAUGUAAGUUUUCUAAUUUUUUGAGAAGCGGGCCUGGGGCUCAGGUUUGCUAGUUUCGAGGUUCUUGCUAUAUUUCGAUGGCUUUCGAUUGGGUGUUGUACCAUUAGCGUAUUAUGAUAUAUUUGUACUAAUUUUGGUUAGAUUUGACGUGCGUGGAGGCCAAAUUUGAGGGGCAAAGGCAUCGCGAGCGAGGAAUUUCACUGGUUCAGGUUGAGUAAACUUGGGAAUGAUAUCAUGAGGGUUUGAAACUCUGGAUUUGCACAUCUUAGUGUUGUAUUAUGGUGACUUGCACACUAGACCUGAGCAUGGGGUAGAGCACCGUUGGGGAUUGUGACUUGGUACGUCCUGGUUGUUGGUUUUCACCGCUAAAUUGAAAAUGAUUUAUUGUUAUCAUUAUGACUUGGGCUCAUUACUACUUGGGGCAUAUUUUCGAUUAUUUGAAAUCUUUAUCAACAAUUACCAAACUUUUCCUCACUAUUUGAAAGAUUAUUUGAACUCAGUCCAUGUGAUUUAUACUGUUUCAUGAACUCAAUUAUAUUUUUCUCAAUCUUGGAGUUUUAACUGAUAUUUGAACUAUUGUUGAGCUGAGUAUUAUUCUUUUACGGAUGCCCGAGAGGCUUUUGACUAUUUUUGACUGAUUGAGGCUGAGGGCCUUAUGUGAGGGCAUGAAGAGUGAUGUAAGGUGGCUUUCAGACCUCGAGUGUUAUGUGUGCAUAUGCAUAUACAUGCAUGGAUCAGACUGCAUGCCGCAGUAGCAUAUUGCAAGGAUCAGGAUACAUGCCGCAACAUCAUAUAUAUCAAAUUUGAUUGGGCUGCACGUCGCAACAUUAUAUAUAUUAUAUUGGAUCGAGCUGCACUUCGCAUUAUUAUACAUAUUAGAUCGGGUUGCACGGUGCAGCACUAUAUAUAUUAUAUUGGAUCGGGCUGCACGCCGCAAUAUUUUUGCUCUUGGGCUGUUGGAGCCCCUCCGAAGUCUGUACACACCCCUAGUGAGCGCGGGGAACACAUGGAUCGGGCUACGCGCCGUAACGGUCAUGUGCAUUGCAUUGCAUUCACGCAUUCUCUCCUGUUUGUACUACGUGGCACGGCAUUUAGCACUCAUAUGUCAUUGGCAUACAUAGUGUUACUUGCCUUGUUGACCAGAUACCCUAGUGUUACAUGUUAAGGAGUGCUGAGCCCGAGAGGCUGGUCUUGGAUGUUGUCAGUUAGGAGUGAGCCCACGGGGUUGAUACUGUAUUGAGAGGUUGACACUAAGCCCGAGGAGCAGGUUUUUGAUUACUUUCUACUUGUUGAAAUUACCUUUGCAACUAUUUUAAAAAGCAUGUUUUCAAAAAAGAUUUUGAACUGAUCUUGAGAUUUCUAAAGGGAGUUUUCACAGUAUUUCAUUUUUUCUAAAAAAGGGUGUUCUGUCUUUUAUAGCGGUUUGGUGUGCUCAUACGUGUUUUCUUAUUGCCAGAUAUUAUUCUCUCUUAUUACCACUGAGUUGGAAGUACUCACUUUACUCCCUGCACCUUGUGGUCAUACGUGUUUUCUUGUCGCUCAGAUAUUAUUCGCUCUUAUUACCACUUAGUUGGAAGUACUCACUUACUCCCUGCACCUCGCGUGCAGUUGCAGGCACUGUUCACCCGGUAGCGGGUUAGUAGCGGAUUGAAGGUAUUGCUAUUGUAGCUAAGAUAGGUGACCGCCGGUGUUUGCGGCAUUGAGAUUAUUCCUCUUCUUUAUUCAUAAAUUAUUCUCUAUGUGUUGAAGAUUUUUAAAUUUGAUGAAGGCACUCCUAGAUGUUUGUGACUUGUGACACCCCGGUCGGGCUGUAUUGGGUUGUAUUUUUAUUGAUUAAUAACAUUAAUUCAUAUUCGAACUGUUAUAUAACUGACUAAUCGCUUUAAUUUGUGUAUUAAAACAAUCUGUCUGGCCUUGUCUUCACGAGAGGCUCCAUCACGAUUAGAUUUGGGAAUUAGGUUAUGACAAGUUGGUAUCCCGCCACGGGUAUGGUAUCGGGAUCGGGUGCCAUGCCGCCACGGGUAUGGUAUCUGGAUCAGGUGGCACGCCGCCACGGGUAUGGUAUCUGGAUCGGGUGGCAUGCCGCCACAGGUAUGUUAUCUGGACCAGGUUGCACGCCGCAACAGUGUGAUGUGGAGAAUAGUUUUCCUAUAUGUUACUUUGUAUACCUUGUUUCCUGGUUUAUGAGGAAAAUCUGUAUUGGGUGUUGCUCGGCAAAUGGCGCAUCGGUUGUGUCCUUUCAAGAUUGAAUAGUGUAAAAUACUUGGUUCACCAUUGGUGUGAUGGAUUGCUUGGUUUCAGACCUCAAUCUGUGCGUGGCUGUAUGUGUUGAGCAUGAUGACUUGAGGUGCUUCAUGGGUAAUAGUGCUUGGAUAGAAUCACGCGUUGUGGCAAGGACAUGUGAUGUUAUGACCUCUCGAGGAGGAUUCAAGUAAUUUAUUUCUAUGAUGUGAUAUGGGAUCUCAGUUUUUUGUUUUGAUCGUACAGAGGAAUUUGAAUUACAGCUCUUUCGUUUGGGUCAGUUGUAUUGGUUUGAGUGUGUUCAGAUCGUUUUUUAUUGGUGCCUGUGAUGAGCAUGUUGUGGCUUAGGCCGGUAUUGAGGUGUCAUAUCACUAGAGUGGCGCGUUGUAGUUGAGAUGAUCGUUGGGGUCGUUACUGAGUACGAGCACAUUUGAUUUCAGCCUGUGAGGAAGAUAAUAUCGAGGUUUGGCUCUGAAUAUUUGUUAUACUAUCAGUCAAGAAGGAAAUGCAUUCAUGAAUGGUUGAUCUAAGAGAUGGAUUUUGUUUAUCGCGUGUUUCAGUUGCCGUUCGCAGUGUAUAAAGUUGUUGGGGAUAAGACUUUGCCUAAUAAAAAGGUUUUUCUAUCAGUAUUUGGUUAUUGUGGGCAAUUGCUGUGAAUGAAAGUUAUCUCUGCAUAUGUUGAAUUAUGUGGUAUAUCAUAUGAUUGCAGCUGAGGUUGCAGGUAUGGAUUAUUACAGCAGGUUUGGGUUUACUCCGAGUAAAAAUGUGAGGUUCUCUCUUGUGUAAGAUUUAAGAGGAUGAACUUUAGUUCUAUGGCUUAUGGACUAAAUGGGUGAAAUGGGUGAAAGAAUUCAGCUAUAUUGUGUUAUCGGACCUAUGUGAGAUAGGGUGAUGUGGGAUCACCCCAAGUAUAUGCUUGGUAAGGUAAUUCAGCUAUUGGGUUGCUUCUAAUACAACUCUGGGUACGGUUGAGGACGAGCGUUUGCUUAAGUUGGGGAGGAUGUGACGACCCGACCUGUAGUCUUAUGUGUUGCUGCUCCGUUUAUAUUUUCUUGUGUUGCUUCAAGUUUCAAUAUCAACAUUAGAGUCGAUCGGGUGUAAUUGAACUAAUUUUUGUUAGAUUUGACGCACGUGGAUGCCAAUUUGAGAGGCAAAGGCAUCGCGAGCUUGGGAUUUCGCAGGUUCGAGGUGAGUAAUACUUGGGAAUGAUAUCCUGAGGUUUGAAACCCCGGAUUUGCACAUCUCAGUGCUGUAUUGUGGUGACUUGCACACUGGACUUGAGCGUGGGGUAGAGCACCGUUGGGGAUUGUGACUUGGUCCGUCCCGGUUGUUGGUUUUCACUGGGGAUUGUGACUUGGUCCGUCUCGGUUGUUGGUUUUUACCGCGAAUUUGCAAAUGAUUUAUUGUUAUCAUUAUGACUUGGGCUCAUUGACAUGCUUGGGGCGUAUUGCCGAUUAUUUGAACUCUUUAUGAAAUAUCAUCACAGUUUUCCUCACUAUUUGAAUGAUUAUUUAAACUCAGUCCAUGUGAUUUAUAUUGUUUCAUGAACUCAACUAUAUUUUUCUCAAACUUGGAGUUUUAACUGAUAUUUGAACUAUUGUUUGAGCUGAGUAUUAUUAUUGUAUGGAUGCCUGAGGGGCUUUUGACUAUUUUGGACUGAUUGAGGCUGAGGGCCAUAUGUGAGGGCAUGAAGAGUGAUGUAAGGAGGCCUUCAAACCUCGAGUGUUAUGUGUACAUAUGCAUAUACAUGAAUGGAUCGGAUUGCACACCGCAACAUUAUAUAUAUUAUAUUGGAUCGGUCUGCACGCUGCAACAUUAUAUAUAUUAUAUUGGAUCGGGCUUGACGCUGCGUUAUUAUAUAUUAUAUUGGAUAGGGCUGCACGGCGCAACAUUAUACAUAUUGGAUCGGGCUAAACGCCGCAAAAUUAUAUAUAUAUAUUAUAUUGGAUCGGGUUGCAUGCUGCAGCAUUUUUGCGCUUGGGCUGUAGGAGCCCCUCCGGAGUCGAUACACACCUCCAGUGUGCGCAGGGUGCCCAUGGAUCGGGCUACGGGCCGUAGCGGUCAUGUGCAUUGCAUUGCAUUCACGCAUUCACUCCUGUUUGUACUACGUGGCANNNNNNNNNNNNNNNNNNNNNNNNNNNNNNNNNNNNNNNNNNACGCAUUCACUCCUGUUUGUACUACGUGGCAUGACAUUUAGCACUCAUAUAUCAUUGGCAUACAUACUGUUACUUGCCUUGUUGACCAGAUACCACAGUGUUAUAUGUUAAGGAGUGCUAAGCCCGAGAGGCUGAUGUUGUAUAUUGUGAUUUGGGAGUGAGCCCGCGGGCUGAUACUGUACUAAGAGGUUGAUGCUGAGCCCAAGGGGCUGGUUUGUGACUACUUCCUACUUAUUGAAAUUAUCUUUGCAAUUGUUGAAAAAGCAUAAUUUCAAAAGAGAUUUUGAAAUGACAUAGAGAUUUUUCUAAAGAGAUUUUUCACAGUAUUUCGGGUUUUCUCAAAAGGGAUGUUCUGUCUUUUAUAACAGUUUGGUGUGCUCAUAUGUAUUUUCUUAUCGCUCAGAUAUUAUUCUCUCUUAUUACCACUGAGUUGGAAGUACUCACUUUACUCCCUGCACCUUGUAUGUAGUUGCAGGUAUUGUCCACCCGGUAGCGGGUUAUCCGCGGGACCGAAGGCCUUAUUGUGGUAGUCGUGUAAGGUGACCGCCAGCAUCCGUUGCAGGUACUGUUCACCCAAUAGCGGGUUAGUAGCGGAUUGAAGGUAUUGCUAUCGUAACUAAGCUAGGUUACCACCGGCGGUCGGAAAAAAGAUUCUUCCUCUUCUUGAUUCGCGAAUUUUUCUCUAUGAGUUAUAGAUUCUUAAAUUUGAUAAAGGCACUCCUAGAUGCUUGUGACUUUUGACACCCCGGUCGGGCUGUUUUGGGUUGUAUUUAUAUUGAAUCAUAACAUUAACUCAUAUUCCAACUGUUAUAUAACUGACUAAUCAUUUUAAGUGGUGUUUUAAAACAGUCUGGCUGGCCGUGUCUUCACGAGAUGUACCAUCACGACCGGACUUGGGAAUUGGGUCGUGACAGCUAGAGAUUUUUCCGGUUCGAGGUGAAUAAUUUUUAAAUGAUUCCCUGACGUUUUGAAACCGAAUUGCACAACAUACUACUAUGUUGAGAUGAGACACGGAUUGUAUAACAUGCGCGAGGUCAUUUACUAUUGGGGAUUGUGACAUGGUCCAUCCCGGUUGAUAUUUUACCGUGUAUUUGAUAAAGAUUUACUAUUUUUCACCAUGAUUUGGGUUCGUUGCCAUACUUGGGAUUUGUGCCAAUUAUUUGAAAUAUUUUAUGAAUUUACAUCACUAUUUUUCCUCACGAAUUGAAAUAGUAUUUGAACUCAGUCCAAUUGAAUUCUAUUAUUUUAUGAACUUAGCCAUAUUUAUACUCAACUCGAAAAUUAAUGAUAUUGAUAAUAUUGUUGAGCUGAGUACUAUUGUUUUACUGAUGCCCAAGGGGUUUAUGAUUAUUUUCUGGAAUGAUUGAGGCCGAGGGCCACACGUGAGGUUAUGUUGAGUGAUGUGAGGAGGCUUUCAGGCCUCAAGUGCUAUGUGAGGAGACUUUCAAGCCUCGAGUGUGAUGCGUGAAGGCUUUCGGGCCUAUUGAUAAUGUGCUUGGGCUGUAGGAGCUCAUCCUGAGUCUGUACACACCUAAGUGAGCGCAGAGUACCCAUGUGAGUUGGGAGUGGGCCCUAGAGGCCGUUGUUUGUGUUUGGUGAGUUGGGAGUGAGCCCGAGGGGCUGAUGCUGUGUGCCGGUGAGUUGGGAGUGAGCCCCGUGGGGCUGAUGCUGUACUGUGAGUUUAAUAUUGAGCCCGAGGGUCAAGUUUUUGAUUAUUCCUUACUUGUUGAAAUUAAUUGUCUUCACUAUUUAUAAAAGAGAAUUAUCUCAUACUCCACGACUUUAUUGUAUAAUUUAUUUUACUACUCGAGAUAGCGUUAUAUUGUGCCUUUAUGAGAUUUCAUGCUUCAGUCGUUUUUUUUUUAUUAUUCAUUGGGUCAGAGUACUCACACUACUCCCUGCACCAUGUGUGCAGAUGCAGGUAUCAAUCACCCGGUAGCGGGAUGUUAGCUGAUUGAAGGUAUUUUUAUUGUAGUUGAGCAAGGUGGCCACUAUCAGUCGCGGCACCGUAUCUCUUCCUUUGAUUAUAAAUUUCCAAUAUGUAUACUAUUGGUUUUAUAGUAGUGUUCAAAUUUCUUAGAUUCUCGUGACUUGUGACACCCCGAUCGGGUUAUGUUGGGCAAUAAACACUGGUUAUUAUUGUCGUUAAGCUGUAUUUAUCUAUGCAUUUUUGUUUAAUAAUUGUUAAAGAAACAAUUUGGGUUAGUUGGCUGGCAUUGUCUUCACGAGAGGCGCCAUCACGACCGGGUUAGGAAAUUGGAUCGUGACAAUGGCUGAAAAUUCAAAGAUGGAAUAGCAACCAAAAGCGGCCAGCAGCAUCAGGAAACACAACAUAGAAAAUCAAAUAGGUCCCACAAUUUAAACAAAGUCUAAUCAGCUUCUUAAACCAGAAUCCAAGCUAAAACACCCAAGAAAAUUAUCUAUUUAAAACCACGUUUUUAGCUUGUGAAAACCAAAAGAAUGAUGUUUUGAAGUUUUUUUAAGAUUUCUGAAAUCUGUUCUUUUUUCAGGAAAGGAAGAGAGACCUUUUUACGGUAAAAUGAUGUUGAAAUCUGUGUGUGUGAGUAAGGGAAUAUUUCCCUUUUAUAGAAUGCACAAUAAGAAAUCAAAAAGCAUAUUCUAACCUAAAAUUCUAAACUUUCAGGAUAGUUAAACAUCGUUUACAGUUGUAUGUCCUUUUCCUUAUCCAAUACUAGCAUUUUUAUGCUAAGGACAGGGACAGCUGUGAAAAGUCUAGAAUAUUCUCAUAUUUAGCCUACGUGAAAGUUCAUUUUUACCCCUUUAAUUAGCGCCCACUUAAGCUUUGUCCUAAGUUCUUUCUGUUCAAUUAAUUACAACUAUUUAAAAUCUUCAACUAAGUGAUUAAGUUGUAUAAUAAUAUUGCAAUCAUUAACCUAAGGUUUAAAUGGUUGUUCAGAGGCUCAAGCCUAAGUUUAAAAUCAAUUCAACAUAAGUAAUUAAAGCAUGCAGGCAAUCAAACACAAAUUCAAAAAGCUACUCAAAAUUUGCCUAAUUUGACUAAGGCCAGGUUGAAUCAGGCUAAAGCUGAAAUAUGCAAUUAAUUCCCAUUAACACUAUCCUAAUUAAACUAAGGGAUACUGAAAAAAAAACUUGCAAGAAUAAUAAUCAUGAAAGGAAUAAAAAGAAAAAAAACAUAACAAACAAACAAAGUUAUCUAAAAGUAAACAUGCAAAUUAAAUCCCUAACGAUGAAAUAUAAACCUAUAAAUAAUGAAACUAACAAAUAUACAGAAAGAGAAAAUAACCUAAGUCAUACGAUCAACCAAAAGGAAAUUAUCAGAAAAGGGGAAAUGACCAAAACUAGAAGAAAACUAAAUAAAAGGUUAUAAGAAGUUACCUAUCACUUGAUUUUAUCAAUAAUAAAACUGAAACGCCUUUGAAUUUUGGCCAAAAUUAUCGGGGUACGAAUGAACUUUAGUCAAUCAUGAAUCAACUGCUCUUAUCAAGGGCAAUGAAUUCAAGUAAUUCUGAGGUAAAAAAUCCCCAAAAGCUUCCGAAAAUUUCGGAAGUGAAAGAAAAUUAGGGUUCCAAAAUCUUGGAGUUAAAAUUCAAUGAAUCUGGAUCUGAUUCGAGGGGAACCAGAAGGAUAUUUUGGGAAGAGGGGGAGGAGGAGGUUGCAUGUUAUAAUUUUGGAUUGAUUUGGAAAAGUUAGAGUUUUUCGGCAUGAAUCUCGGAUUUGAAAUUUCAGAUUUUUGGUGAUGAUUUGAAUGAAACGAGUUAGAGAUUUGAAACGAGGAGAUGAUAAGGGUUAUGGGAUGUUAAAUUGGGGAGGUUUGGAGGUGGUCCACUGCCAUAAGGUGAUUUCAGGCUGGCAGGCCACGACGGAGAUAUCGAAGGUAAAGUAGGGUUUCUUGAGUUAGUACAGGGAAGGUGAAAAUGAAAAGGGUAAUGGGGGGGGGGGGGGGGAAGUUUUCGGAUAAGGGUUAUGGGAUGUUAAAUUGGGGAGGUUUGGAGGUGGUCCACUGCCAUAAGGUGAUUUCAGGCUGGCAGGCCACGACGGAGAUAUCGAAGGUAAAGUAGGGUUUCUUGAGUUAGUACAGGGAAGGUGAAAAU
This 12741-nucleotide long non-coding RNA is filed under the name Nicotiana benthamiana. Its description in RNAcentral is "long non-coding RNA (NBEN_LNC025755)". The record is from RNAcentral. Lineage: Eukaryota; Viridiplantae; Streptophyta; Magnoliopsida; Solanales; Solanaceae.